GCCUCGGCCUCGGCCUGGAAGCGAUGUAGCCGCACCAGGCCCGAGCCCCGCGGGCCGCCGCUGCCGCUGCCCUUGAACCACAUGAAGCAGCUCGCCAAGCAGACCGUGGGCAGCACCCAAGCUUCUAAAUCCAGCUCACGGAGUAGGUCUCAAGAGCCAUCACCAGUUUCAGAAAACCUUCCUGCUCUCUCAGGCCUGCAUCAGAUGCCCUCCCAUCACUUCUAACCUUUGGUAAGUUAUCAUCAUCUCUGCGUCUAGGUUUCUCAUCUCCAGAAUGGGUAUGGUGAUAGCAUCGAUGGCUUAGUUAUCUUGAGGAUUCAGUGAAUCCACACACGCAAAGCACUCGGAACACAGAGGCGAAGAGAGGGAUCUCGGGAGCAAAACUGCCCAGACUCAGCGCCCUCUCGUGAAACCUGGAGCAGGUCACAUCACUUUUCAGUGCCUCCGUUUCCUCCUACCUAACGUGGAGGUAACGAUACUUACCCCCUGGAUGUUACCGCCAAUGUCAAGGGGAUUAACUCUUACGAAGCACCUGGACCAGUGCCAAGCACAUAGUAUGAGCUCAGUAAACGUUAGUUAGCUGUGAUGGUGGUGACGACAGCCCCCUCCUCUCGGAGGCCCUGUGCCUCACUCACUGCGCUGGAGCAUGAUCACUUACUUUCCUUGACAGCCCUUGCGCCCAGUCAGCGCAGGGGCCGUGACUCUUACUCGCGAUGGCUCAUGGAAGGGACUCCAACAGAUAUUUGCUCAGUGACUCACUGAGUGAAAAGGUUAGUGGCAAAGUAUGCAUGACACCCUGUGGGGUCGAAUGCAGCGAUGGGCCGUACUGUUCCACUCAGGGACCAUUUCAUCAUUCUGAAUAUCCUUUGGAGGAAAAGCCUCUUUUUAAGGGUAAAAAGAAAAAUUCGCGUUCUGUAUUGAGUCAUCAAUAGCGUCCUUUCCUCCAUCAAGCCACGGUGUUGGAACACUCUUUUCUUUGACCUUUAAAAAAGGGCAAGUGAAGAUUUAUGGUGUCGUCCACCCAGAAUCUCGCCGUCAUCCAGCAAAAGAGCCUCACCCCGGUUUUCCAGGUGAACAUUUUUUCCCUUCAUUUUCUGCACCAUGCUGAUCAUGGAACUUUCUGGGCUACAUCUGCAAUGUGUUCUCCUCCUAGACACUUAGAGGAUCCACAGUUACUGCAAAGUCUCUGCCUUGCAUGCCUUGAAAAAUAUGUAGCAUUUAUUGUUGUUUAUAGAGAUACGACCGUACAUUUGCAAAGCACAGCUUCGAAGGUUUCAAAUAUUCUCUUUUCUGACAAAUAUUCUGUUUUGUUGCAAUCUCUUAAAAGUUGCAUGAGAUGGUUGAUGCAAACGUAAAUAAAGUGAGGUACAGGAA
This is a long non-coding RNA of Neofelis nebulosa (Clouded leopard), 1374 nucleotides long. RefSeq lists it as uncharacterized. The transcript has 2 exons. NCBI's taxonomy places the organism in Eukaryota, Metazoa, Chordata, Mammalia, Carnivora, Felidae. The record is from RefSeq and is a predicted model, not a curated record.